GUAGGUGGCAAGCGUUGUCCGGAAUUAUUGGGCGUAAAGCGCGCGCAGGCGGUUCUUUAAGCCUGAUGUGAAAGCCCACGGCUCAACCGUGGAGGGUCAUUGGAAACUGGAGAACUUGAGUACAGAAGAGGAAAGCGGAAUUCCACGUGUAGCGGUGAAAUGCGUAGAGAUGUGGAGGAACACCAGUGGCGAAGGCGGCUUUCUGGUCUGUAACUGACGCUGAGGCGCGAAAGCGUGGGGAGCAAACAGGGAUUAGAUACCCUGGUAGUCCACGCCGUAAACGAUGAGUGCUAAGUGUUAGGGGGUUUCCGCCCCCUUAGUGCUGCAGCUAACGCAUUAAGCACUCCGCCUGGGGAGUACGGCCGCAAGGCUG
This 373-nucleotide ribosomal RNA is filed under the name uncultured organism. RNAcentral's name for it is "partial 16S ribosomal RNA". It matches the Rfam family "Bacterial small subunit ribosomal RNA", at positions 527 to 896 of the family's 1533-position model. The record is from RNAcentral.